GAUGAACGCUGGCGGCGUGCCUAAUACAUGCAAGUCGAACGAAACUUCUUUAUCACCGAGUGCUUGCACUCACCGAUAAAGAGUUGAGUGGCGAACGGGUGAGUAACACGUGGGCAACCUGCCCAAAAGAGGGGGAUAACACUUGGAAACAGGUGCUAAUACCGCAUAACCAUAGUUACCGCAUGGUAACUAUGUAAAAGGUGGCUAUACUACCGCUUUUGGAUGGGCCCGCGGCGCAUUAGCUAGUUGGUAGGGUAAAGGCUUACCAAGGCAAUGAUGCGUAGCCGAAUUGAGAGGUUGAUCGGCCACAUUGGAACUGAGACACGGCCCAAACGCCUACGGGAGGCAGCAGUAGGGAAUCUUCCACAAUGGGCGAAAGCCUGAUGGAGCAACGCCGCGUGGGUGAAGAAGGUCUUCGGAUCGUAAAACCCUGUUGUUAGAGAAGAAAGUGCGUGAGAGUAACUGUUCACGUUUCGACGGUAUCUAACCAGAAAGCCACUGCUAACUACGUG
This 512-nucleotide ribosomal RNA is filed under the name uncultured bacterium. RNAcentral's name for it is "partial 16S ribosomal RNA". It matches the Rfam family "Bacterial small subunit ribosomal RNA", at positions 28 to 507 of the family's 1533-position model. The record is from RNAcentral.